UACGAAGGGGGCUAGCUUUGCUCGGAAUCACUGGGCGUAAAGCGCACGUAGGCGGAUUGCUAAGUCAGGGGUGAAAUCCUGGAGCUCAACUCCAGAACUGCCUUUGAUACUGGCGAUCUUGAGUCCGGGAGAGGUGAGUGGAACUGCGAGUGUAGAGGUGAAAUUCGUAGAUAUUCGCAAGAACACCAGUGGCGAAGGCGGCUCACUGGCCCGGUACUGACGCUGAGGUGCGAAAACGUGGGGAGCAAACAGG
RNAcentral lists this ribosomal RNA (253 nucleotides) under uncultured bacterium. Its description in RNAcentral is "partial 16S ribosomal RNA". It matches the Rfam family "Bacterial small subunit ribosomal RNA", at positions 524 to 776 of the family's 1533-position model. The record is from RNAcentral.